GAUGAACGCUGGCGGCGUGCUUAACACAUGCAAGUCGAACGGAAAGGCUCCUGCUUGCAGGGGUACUCGAGUGGCGAACGGGUGAGUAACACGUGGGUGAUAUGCCCUGCACUUCGGGGUAAGCCUGGGAAACUGGGGCUAAUACCGGGGAGGACCACUUUAUGGGCGGGGUGGUGGAAAGAUUUGCGGUGUGGGAUGAGCUCGCGGCCUAUUAGCUGGUUGGUGGGGUAAUGGCCGACCAAGGGGUCGACUGGUAGCCGGCCUGAGAGGGUGUACGGCCACAUUGGGACUGAGAUACGGCCCAGAAGCCUACGGGAGGCAGUAGUGGGGAGUAUUGCACAAUGGGGGCACGCCUGAUGCAGCGACGCCGGGUGGGGGAUGACGGCCUUCGGGUUGUAAACACCUUUCGCUGGAGACGAAGCGCAAGUGACGGUACCUGGAGAAGAAGCACCGGCUAACUACGUG
This 465-nucleotide ribosomal RNA is filed under the name uncultured bacterium. Its description in RNAcentral is "partial 16S ribosomal RNA". It matches the Rfam family "Bacterial small subunit ribosomal RNA", at positions 28 to 507 of the family's 1533-position model. The record is from RNAcentral.